GCGUUUUCAAAGGUCACGCAUGACAUUCACCGACUUGUUUAUCAAGACAUUGCCAUACUUUGCGUUUGGAAAGGAAAUAUCAGAGUUAAUUAAUAUGGUUAAGAGAGGCAGGACUGCGCAGGCUUGUGACAUCGGGCAGUGAAGCGCAGAAGAUUUAAAAGGAACACAGCCUUAUACAGCAGGCAGCAGAGUGAGCCGGGAGCAGAGUGAAGGCUUAAGGGCUUUGGCUCAACCGGUUUAGGCGCAAACAGGCGAGGCAAGAACUGCCUGGGUGAUAGUUGAACGAGGACAAUGAGAGAAUAAACAAGGGGACAUGCAAAAGCUGUGAAACACAGGUGGGAGCUUUUGCUAAAAUUUAAAACCAAUGGAUGAAUUCUGGUAAUGCCCAGCAGAUCAAACCGUGCCAGUGCAAAGAGGAAAAUUGAAUUACUAUUGCAGAACCGACUGGUUCUAACAGAAAAAGCAAGUUAUCUGAAAUGGGUGAAUUCAAUAUUGUGUCUAAAGUGCAGCAUGUUGCAGCCAAAGAUGAGAUGCUGUUCUUCAAAUUUACAUUGGGACUUGUUGGAAAAAUACAAAAGGCUACAGAUAACAUAGAUGGAGGUGGACUGUAACAUUAUAGUUGCAGGUAAUUGGAAGCUCAUGGUUGCCUCUGUGGACUGAAUGGAGAUCACCCAAUCUGCAUUCAGAUUUUCCAAUAUAUAACAGGUGCACUGUGAGCCCUGAAUGCAAUACACCCAAUUGGAAGAAAUGCAAGUGAAUCACUGCUUCAUCUGGAAGAUUGGUUCACUGGAUUGUAGGAUGGGAAGAAAAGAAAGGACAGGUAUUUCAUUGCCAUAAGGGAAAGUGGAUAAUAAGAAAGUUGCUGGAGAUGAAAGAAUGGACCAAGAUAUUGUAUAGGGAAAUCUCCAUUCAGAAUACUGAGAGGGGAGGGGACGAGAUCUGUCUGGUGGUAAAGUCUUGAAGUUGACAGAAAUUAUGCAGGUUGAUUUGUUGAAUGUAAAGGCAGUUGGGGUAGAAGGCAAGGACUGGGCGGGCAUUCUUUGUUCCGACUGGGAGUAGAGGAACUGAGUAGAGAUGCAGGAAAUAGCUGAGAUAAAGAUUCUGUGGACUGUGAUGGGAAGCCAUAGUUAGAAAAUGUAAGAUAUUUUAGAGACUCUGAGGGCAGAAAAACUUUGAUUUUAGUAUUUCCAUUGUUUAAUAGGAAGAAAUUUCUACAGUGGUUAGCAAAUCUAGAGACCAUGGGCAGGUUGAGAGCAUAUGAUGUGAAAUUCAGUGUUACAAAUUUAGAUACAGAGCUUGAUUUCAUUUUGAAGAGUUUAUUGUUUCUGAAAUGUGAUAAGGUGUUGUCCCAGGAGGUAUUCUUUAAUUUAUGUCUGGGCUGUCAGCUGAUUGAUAUAAUUUGCUCUUGCACAAGAAAAAUGACUUGCAGCUUCACAGCAACUUCAGGGAUGGGGGAAAGUGCAUGGAAUGUGUGUGCCUACUGUCAAUGUGGGAGCAGUUAGUUUUCUUAAUUAAAGCUGUUAUUUUUGAUCUAAUUUGUUAACAGUUCACUCUUAAGAAACCAUUUCACCAAGGCAUUUUUUUCCCUCUUCCUCUCGUGCAAUAGAUAUUUUGUAUUCACUGUAAAGAAUACUUUCUGAGGAAUGUAAAUUCAUAGAACAAUCUCAAGUAAGGCUACAAAUGCCUUGUACCAGCAGAAUGCACUAUUUCCAGGCAGCUUGGGCUCAAAUAAAUUUUCCUUCUCAAAACGUCAUGACCCUCAACCUGGCCGGCUGGCAUCCUGAUCAGAGGCCUGAUCCAUAACCAAACUUGUACAGAAACCAAUCUCAAAGUUCCCAGAAACCAAGUUCAAUUCCACAUCAUACAGAUAUUUCCAUAAAGACAUAGGAGCAGAAUUAGGUCAUUUGGCCCAUCGAGUCUGCUCUGCUAUUCAAUCAUGGCUUACCCUUUUUUGGUCCCCCUCCACAGCUCCACUCCCUGGCCUUCUCCCCGUAAACUUUGAUGCUUGAUGGCCCAUCAAGAACCUAUCAACCUCUGCCCUAAAUACACCCAAUGACCUUUCCUCCACAGGAGCCUGUGGUAUCUCUGUUGUCUUGAGACUUGGGCAGUCCCAUCUCCUGGACUGGAUCUGUGCAAGGCCUACAUUCUUUUUCUCCAUGUUCCACUGGUAAUAUUCGUUGGCUCCAAGGUGGUAUGUUCUGCACAGUAUUAACGACAACAAAUGGGUUAAGGAGGUUGAAUGCAUCACUGUCAGAAUCUCGGGGAAAUAUUUGUGACUUUGGUUACAGCUAUUUAAGCAGGAGGGAAAAGACAUCUCAAAAAUGUAAAGAAAAAUAUGGUAGUUUUCAGAGACAGAGCUGAGAGCUACUUUUUAAAAAAUAAAGUUAGGAGAAUGGAAGUUCUACAUUUCUACAGCACUUUUUAUCAUUUUUAGGAUAUUUAUUUAUUGAGAUACAGCGUGGAAUAGGCCUUUCUGGCCCUAUGAACUGCGCCACCCAGCAAUCUACUGAUUUAAUCCUAGUCUAAUCACAGAAUACUUUACAAUCACUGAUUGACCGACUAACUGGUAUGUCUUUGAACCGUGGGAGAAAACCAGAGCACCUGGAGAGAUCUACAAGUUCACGGGGAGGAAAUACAAACUCCUCCGGACAGUGGCGGGAAUUGAACCUGGGUUGCUGGUACUGUAAAGCGUUGUGCUAACCACUAUGAUACCAUGCCAUCCAACCGCUUUACAGUAUGAGGUACAUCGGGAGUGUUUUGCAGACUAGAAAUGUGAUGACUAAUUUGGCCCCAGCAAUUCUCAAGUACACUAAUGUGAUGAUUACCAGAGAAGUGAUUUAAUAUGCAUGGUCUGAAAACAUGAAACAGCCUUUGACAUUAGAUAAUUAUCUGCAAAUUUAGAAAUAGUGGAAGCAGCACAGGCCAGAUCACAGUUCACAAUGUAAGCAUAUUUGUAUUCAGCCUCAAUAACUUGUUACUGACCCUAAACACUUAGUCUUAUCAAAUCCCUUCAUGAUUUUUGCUACUUAUAGUGUAACUUCUAAUCUCUAAUCUAAGGAGAAAUACUUCAGGUUCUCCAAUCUCUUUUGCAUAUCAGACAUUCCUGGAACUCUCCUUGUAAAUUCCCUCUGUACCUUCUCUUUCUUGCCAUCCUUCAUGAAGUGAAGUGUCCCAAAUUGGUCCUAGAGCCUGGAUUAUCUACAAAGGGCAUCUCAAGGCACUGGAAAUACCACCAGGGUCUCUGCAAAAUCCUCCAAAUUCAGUGGCAGGAUUACUAACCCAAUGUCAUCUAUCAGGCCAACAUUCCUAGAUUUGAGGCCCUAAUUACACUCUGAUAUCUCCUUUGGACAGGUCACAUUGUCUGCCUGACACUAUUCCAAGAUCCACAAAGGAAGAGAUCACUGGGUGAACAGAGGAAAAGAUUCAAAGAUGAGCUCCUGGGAACCUCUGGACAGCAGUGAGAACCUCGAGUCCAGAAGCAGAGAAAGAGAGGAAGGCAGCAAUAUAGUGAGACACCAGGGUGCACUUUGCUGCAAAACUCACUCUUUCAUUGGAAAUUGGUGGAGGUGAAUGUAUCUCUAGAUCAUGGCAGCACGAAGGCACAUAUAAACACCAAGUAAAUGGCAGAAGAAUGAACCAAGUUACAAACUAUCCACCCAGGCCAUCAGGAAAGUCCCUGCCACACAUGUAGAAGAGUCUACAAUUCCCACAUUGCCUUAUCAGACACCCAGAACUGGGGUCCUCAAUUCUGCAGGAGGCAACAUUGUGGAUAUGUAUCAAACAGAAAUCUACUUGCCAUUUUAUGUAGAACAAUUCAUGUACUUUAUGAAAUAAGGCCCUCUAGAGGCAACACUAAAAAUAACCAAGUUGGACAAACCAGUUCAUUAGUGGCAUCUUCAACAGUGGCACUUCACAGUGUAAACAUUCUGACAUUCAGUGAUAAAGCAGCCUUCAAAAAUGCGGCUGUGAAAGCAUACUGUUGGGGGUAAGGUCACAUGUUUCUAUAAAUACAGUAAGCUAGUCCUGCAAGUUCACACCUGGGAAUUUCCAUAUUUUGUACAGAGACCACCAGCUCCCAAUGCAGUGUUGCUAUUCUUCCAAAACAAGGAUGAAAUAAAGCCAAAGGGCAUAUAAGUGCCAAACCCUUUGAGCAACUCUUUUAGAAGCACAUUACAAUUUGCUGUGUUUUUCCUAGUUCUGGUGAAAAGUCAUCGAUCUGAAAGUAACUCUUGUUUCUCUCUCCCCACAGGUACAAACUGACCUACUGAAAAGCUUAAGCAUUUUCUGUUCUAUUUCACUAUUCUGUAACCUCACUGUAUUUUUCAGUUCAGUUAAGAAUCAUUUGGAAGCAAAGGUUGCCUAUGGAGAGGAACUGAAGUAUUCCACACCCACCUAUAUCUAGAUUAUAGCUAAACAUUUUCAGUAUUGCGACAAACUUAACAUAAAAAAUGUGCAUGCGGGUCAAAAGUCAGAAAUUGCUUAAAGAGCCAGUCUGCCUAAUUACUCCUGCUAAUUGGCUUGUGUAUUCCAGUGAAGUCAGCAGCAAGCAACCCCACAGAGCCGAUCAAACCACUUCAUGUUUUUCAAACAGAGAUCUAAAACAAGUAACAAUCACAAGUAUACCAAAACAGUUUCAAGCUAUUUCCAGAAUAAUUAUUCUUCAGGUUGGUGUAUACGGUUAACAUUUAAAGCAUCUCAGAGAGACAAUGGCAAGAAAUGAAAAUCACAGUGCUCACCCAAAAAAAUGUGUGAAGUGUUUAAACCACCUGCAGUGGAGCUUUCUACAGUAGUGGCAAUGAUAGCAUUCAGGCUUAGACUGAUAAUUGUCAAAUUACAUCUGUGCGACAAAAAUGCAAGUCUAUGUCUGUCUCUAACCACCUAUUCUUGACAUUUAAUAGCUUUACCAUAAUCAAAUUUCCCCAUGGGUAACAUCUUAGUGGUUACCAUUAAAUCAACAAUGUACCUCAGCUAUUCAGCAGUGUGUCUGUCUGCAGUGUGUACAAUCUAUAAAAUACACUGCAGGAACUCAUGAUGAACAGAAGAAGUGGACCCAGGACAUCAUGCCUGCUCUGAUCAUAGCUGAUCUUGUGCCUCACUGCCACAUAUCCCCAUAUUUCUUUAAUACCUAAAAGUAUCCAACCCUUCCUCAACAUUACCUGUAAAACCUAAGACCUGUGCCACGUGGUUGGCACAUGAGAAUACCACAACUGCAUAUUCCCUUGGAAGUUGAACACCAUUUUGACUUUAUUUUCUUUCCCCUCUGUUACUGAGUUUAAAUCAUGGAACUCCCUACUCAACACCACUGUGGCAAUGUCUUCACCAGAAGGACAGCUGCACUUCUCAGUGAGUCACCUCUAUUGUGCAAUGGAUGCUGGCCUUCCCAGUGCUCACAUACCCCACAAACAAAAAAUAAAAUUGCACAAAUUUUAUAAACCAACAUGGAAGGUGGAGAAAAAACAAAGACUUCAUAAUGUAAACAACAGUUGUUUUGAGGGAAGAUGAUGUUUUAAUCAAGUAUUGUAGAAUAUUUAUUAAUUGAUCUAACUGCACGCCCUGUUGCCUUUCAAUAGCAAUUGUCACUGAGUUUUGUAGCACAGAAACAGGACUUUUGGUCCACCACGUCCAGGCCAACAUUUUUGUCCAUUGACGCCAAUCUCAUUUGCCCACACCAGUUUCAUAUUCUGCUACGCCUUGUUUAUUUAAGUCUAAAUGUCUAUCUGAUUUCACUGCUUCCUCUGGCAGUGAGUUCCAGGUUUCAACCUAUUUGGUGUAAAAAAACACUUACCUACCAAUUCCCUGAAAAACUCCAUCCUUGCACCUGUGCCCUCCUGUUUUUGAUACCCAUAGCAUAGGAAAAGAUAUCUACACUAACUUAAUUUUGUAUGCUUCAAUCAAGUCACACCUUGGCUUCCUUCACUUUAAGGGAAACAAACCCAGACUAUUCAAUGUCUCUCCAUAACUCAAGGCUUCCAAUCAAGACAACAUUCUCGUAAACCUGUCUGCUCUCCACUCUCUUCAGCACAACCACGCACUUCCUGUAGUGUGAACUGCCCAAAUACUUCAUGUGUCAUGUAACCAUUGUUUUGUAAUGUUGCAGCAUAAUGUCCCAAUUUUUGUAUUCCAUGCCCUGACCUAGGAAGGCAAGCAUGCCAUAUGUCUUCUUCACCCCUUUUAGGGAGCUCUGGAUUUGAACCUAAGGUCUCCCUGUUCAUCAAUAUUUCUUUAUACCUGACUAAUUAGUAUUUACUUUCUUCCUCUAUUUGAUUUUACAAAAUGCAUCACUUUCCACUUAUUGGGAUUACAUUCUAUCUUCCAAUGUUCCACCCAGCUUUCUAUCUGAUCUAUAGCCUUAGUUAAAUGUCCUUGCUGUCCACAUCACUACUAGCUUCUGUGUAGUCUGCAAACGUACUAAUCAUUCCUCUUAAAUUCACAAUGAAGUCAAUAAUACAUAUCACAAAAGUCCUAAGCACUGAACCUUGAGAUACACCACUGGUGUAUCAGACUUCCUAUAAUCAAAACUUCCUACACACCACCUUGUCUCCUAUCAUCAAGUCUAUUUUGGAUCCAAUUAACCAGUUCAUCUUGGAUCCCAUAUGCUUUAAACUUCUGGGCCAGCCUAUCAUGCAGAAUAUUGUCAAAUGCCUUUCUAAAGUCCAUAUAGAUAAUAUCUACCACCCUGCUUUCAGCAAUCUUUUUUACCUACUCAAAAAAUUCAUCCAAAUUAGUGAGGCAGGAUUACCCCUUCACAAAGCCCUGCUCUCUAUCCCUGAUUAAACAUUGCAUUAAACAUUCCCUACCAUUGAUGCAAUACUCACCAGUCUGUUUUUACUUGGUUUAUUCCUGCUACCCUUCUUAAAUAAAGAACCAAUAUUAGUGGCUAAAGAUGCAAAAUUUCUGUUGGCCCCAGCUAUUUCUUCCCUUGCUUCCCAAAGCAUUCUAUGAUAGAUCUCAGUUCAAUUAAGGAUUAGAUAGAACUAUAUUACUUCAAAUCCUAUGAUAAAUUGCUCCAUUAAAAUGAUGGGCGAAGCUUCAUGUUCAGGAUGAGUAGUAGCUCAGGUUUCAAAGUUCUACCUCAGCAACAGCAUAAAAUCAGGUGCUUAGAGAAAGUAAGGAGGCACUGCAAGUACUUUGUGGAGCUUUUAAAAUACCAUAAGCUUGCUAAAUAAAGUUAAUAAAUUAAGCAACACCAUCUAAUUAAUGUUCAAAUUCUCUUCUGCUACUGUUCCACUAACACCAACCACUCAGAUACUGUCCAAGUUAUUAUUUAUGAGCUUCAACAGCAUUAAUGGAGCAUUUAACCACAGGGGCAUUGAAGGCAGAUAUAACCCAGUUCUCAUUUGCACUCUAUACAUGAACUUGAAGAAUGGGAACCCGUGUGGUUUACUCUUACUUAGUUAAGGAGGGUACUCCUGUCACCCAGUUUGAUCAAUGUAGAUGGAUAGCCCAUGUGGGACUUUAGUUCCUCAAGAGAACAAACAGAAGCUCUUGGAAUUGACAGAUUAAACUAGGAGUUUGUUGUAAGAUAAUUCUGUUGCUAUUAAACAGAGCAAGUGCCAAAUUCCAACUACAACAGAUUUUAAAAAGUGUUAUGAGUUGAAACAGAUUUAAAUAAUCUCUAUGUAUUUUUUCAGAAGACCAUUACAGGAAGAAAGUUAAACCCAUUUCUGAACUUAAAUGAUUCAUAAAGCGUAUUUAUUUUUUCACCGUAUUCAACAUUAUCAUUUUUGAGCUUUAAUAUAGAUUGAAACUAAAAAUUUAGUUAAAUGAAUUACAAAUAUUUUAACCAAGAUGAGAGAAUUUUGUCAUUUUACAAACUUUCUGUCUUAGUAGCACCAUUGUUCAACUGGUCACUAAACAGUAUGGCAGAUAUGCUUCCAGCUUGGGUCCCCAGUCUGUGUGAUGUUAACCAGUUGGAGCUUGGGCAGCAGUCAGUUCAACAACACAGACCAAAAGAGCAAGAUCAAUUUGAGCUGUUUCUGAUGAAACUCCAGUAAUCCUUACUGGAAAGUGUAAGUUUGCAAAAACUGGAUAAUAACCAGUUGGGACAGAGCUAUGAUGCUAUUCAGGUACAUUCAAUGAAUGAUGGGUUAGGCAAAGUAUCAGAGGGCAUCAGGUGCCUGAACCCAUAGCUCAUGACUACCAUCUUCAGGAGAUAAAACAAACACUAUUAUCCAAUCUCAUUGUUGUCAUUCUCCCCCUCUCAAAAAAACCCCGCAAAAGUCCAACAUUUAAAAUACAUUUUCCAAAAGGGGUUUCUGUAUAGUGAUCAGCAGCAGGUAGUGGUCAUUUGCCCAUCUCCUUCAACGGAAUCAACUGGAUUUCCCUGAUUGUUACCCUGAGAUCAGAUCAAUUCGGGAGGCAGAACUGAACCUGGCACCUGCCUGAUCUGCUUUGCACCAAAGAGCAUUUGGUGGAAAAUUUACCCAUCAUUCCAGGAAAGAUCUUAACCCACAAUUAUACUGUUCUUUGAUUAUCUUGAACAUAAUGUUAGUCAAUGUACUAUUUUUUAGUGCUCAAUGUACUGUAGCCUCUGAAAACAUAAUUUGCCACGUAGCAGCCUGACAAUUUUGCAAAAACACAGUUAAAUGACACUAAUCUCUGCAAUAAUAACCACUGUGGUAACUACUUGGUGCUUUUCUUAUUGGUGAGAAAAGUACAUACUACGUACUAGGACUUUGUGGAAAUGUCAAAUUUGGAUAACUAUCGAGAUAAGUUGAAAUCAGCUACCACAUCAAUGAGUGACUUUGAACAUUAUGGUCUGAUGUACCCAGAGACAGUAAAGAUUCAGAGUGUACACAUUCAACUACAAUAACAGACAGGCAUCAGAUGUUAAUCAAUCACCUUUCUGCAGAUGUUCAUGCCACAGUCUUUCUGUGUAAAUUAGUUUGAAAUUUGGCUCUUUGGGCUUUCAAUUAACCCUUUCAAACCCCAAUAAAAUCAAUCCCUGAUCUACCAUAUCUUCCAAAAUUCAACAAAUACAUCAUAACAUUCUAUUUGCUGGGAGAUAUAUUCUAGUAUUUGAGAAUUACAGCUUGGUGUUUUCAUUACCUCUUUGAUGAUGAAGAAUGCAAGUCUUGAAUAGUCAUGACCCAAAGCUUGUUCCUUCCACAAUCCUCUCCACCAUGGACUUGAUCCAACCUAUUUAAUCUCUUGAGGAUUGAAUCUGGGAUACUCCUAAUCUGCAUUGUUUUAGUACCACAAUAUACCCAACCAAGUAACAAUACUUUUAAUUUGAUGUAUAUUUAAAAAGUUACAGUAAAAUUUAAAUUAUCAAUCCCUUUAUGUAUUUUGGAGGAUGGAGAUGCAAUACUGUAUGUUCUUAGAAUUUAUGUCUUUAAAAAGUAUAAAGUGUGCAGUGUUAUAAGUAUGAAGUGACCACACUUCCCUAACUUCACACGUAUAUCAUUAGCCAUAAAGCACAUGAAAGGUUCAAUGUAAUACUAAACUAAUACUUGGUCAACAUGUACUUGGAAAGAUUUAAGGAUAGGUUUGUUUUAAAAUAAAACUGUCCAAAUCAGGCACAUUGGUUCAAUUACUUUUCAGAUCCUUCUACUUUGCUUUAUUGGUGCUUCAUUCACACCAAGUUAGUAGUUUUGUGCUCUAGACUGUGGCCUUACAGCAAUUGAUGAGAGUUUCAUUUGUUACUCUUCCUGCCAGAGAGAGGUGAUACUUCAAAUACUUCUGUCAGAGCUGGAUGCAAAAUGUUCUCAAGAGAGUCUCUUUCUAUUGCACUACAGCCCAAGACUGCUAAUGUCAGUUUGUUGAUGGAGC
Long non-coding RNA from Hypanus sabinus (Atlantic stingray), 9771 nucleotides. RefSeq lists it as uncharacterized. NCBI's taxonomy places the organism in Eukaryota, Metazoa, Chordata, Chondrichthyes, Myliobatiformes, Dasyatidae. The transcript is spliced from 3 exons. The record is from RefSeq and is a predicted model, not a curated record.